This is a long non-coding RNA of Pogonomyrmex barbatus (red harvester ant), 500 nucleotides long. RefSeq lists it as uncharacterized. NCBI's taxonomy places the organism in Eukaryota, Metazoa, Arthropoda, Insecta, Hymenoptera, Formicidae. The record is from RefSeq and is a predicted model, not a curated record.
UUUUGCACCUUGUUUAGAAAUAAUCUGAACAUCAAACAUUCCUCGCAGGUUCUAAACCAACAUUACACUCAGCAGCGAGACGUCGAGACAGAGAGAGCAAAGAGUGGGGGAAUGGACUAAGAAUGGCGGAUGAGAAUACCUAUAUGGCUGAUGGCAGAGAACGAGACGUAAGCGCUUACGUUUACCGUAAACGUAGACGUAGACGUUAAGGCAGAGAAAAACGUAUACGUAUCUAAUAACUUUUCACGGAUACGUGUAACCUCUUACGUUUAUGAUAAACGUAAGCGCUUACAUCUCAUUUUCUGCCAUCAGCCUAUCUCUAGUGCCUCAGGACGGCUACUGUUCUUUCCCCUCUUGGUAGUCAAUAGCUUGGUAGUAAAUAGCUAUAAAAGGCCAUAAAUGGGAAAUGAAGCCUAUUCAUACAGAAAAACACACAAUUUCAGUUGUUUAAAGAAAUGAAAAAUAUGCUUUUACACAUAUAAAAUUCAAAAGUAAUUUUA